Molecule: ribosomal RNA, 253 nt
Filed under: uncultured bacterium
Lineage: Bacteria
Description: partial 16S ribosomal RNA
Rfam family: Bacterial small subunit ribosomal RNA
Source: RNAcentral
GACAGAGGGUGCAAACGUUGUUCGGAAUUACUGGGCGUAAAGCGCACGUAGGCGGAUCUUUAAGUCAGGGGUGAAAUCCCGAGGCUCAACCUCGGAACUGCCUUUGAUACUGGGGAUCUCGAGUCCGGAAGAGGUUGGUGGAACUGCGAGUGUAGAGGUGAAAUUCGUAGAUAUUCGCAAGAACACCAGUGGCGAAGGCGGCCAACUGGUCCGGUACUGACGCUGAGGUGCGAAAGCGUGGGGAGCAAACAGG